AUAGGGCUAUUAUGAAGAUAGAAUAAGUUAAUACAUGUAAUACUCUCAUUAUACUACCUGAUAAAACAGCACCAAUCAAGAUGUGUUGUCUAUUAUCUACCCCCAAUUUCUAUGAGUGAUUGUUUUAAAAAGUCUUCUUGGGAUCGGGAGAAUGUGACUCCCAUCCCUCCCCACUCUUGCCAAGAGGACAUGACAAAACCUCAACACUCUUCUUUUAGGCAGAGGACCACUCUGACAGUCCUGCUCAUUUCUGAAGACCAUCCUCUGUCUCCUGGAUUGCGGCCAUAGCACCUAACCUAACCCCUCACCACCCUACCAUCCAUGCUCCCUCCUGCGCCCAGGAGGACUACCUUAAAGCAGAGAUGAGCACACUUUUUUCUGUAAUGGGCCAGACAGUAAGUAUUUUAGCUUUUUCAGGACAAGAGGUGAAAUCAAGGACAUUAUGUAGGCACUUUUAUAGCAAGAGAGAAGACAAAUUUUCCCAAAAUUUUUACUUACAAAAUUCAAAACAUAAUAAUUGAACAUAAUUUUCUUAUAAUACAGGUAUACUAAUGAAAAUAAAGUAAUUAUUUGGGAAGGGAUAACAUUUUCUUGACUGGGAUUCAAGUUAGUGUUCUCUAUCAUCAAAACUGAAUGCAAAUGUUUAUUUGUUAAAGUUGAUCUGAAACGGAAUUUUACAUGUUUCGUCUUUGAAAUGUCUUUUCACAGAAAUUGAUACUGAAAUGAACACCCAGUGAAUUACACAUAUUGAAGCUUAAAGGUUAUUUAAAGGUUCCAUAGAUUUUUCUUCUUUUAAUAUUCAGCCAUGUCUAUUGAAUGGACAGACCAAAGAAACUUCACAGUAGAAAGGACUGUUUCAGCUCUUGUCAGUGCCUCAGGGUAGAAUCUGUGACAGGACCCACAGCAAGACUGAUGGCCAUGGCCCCUGCCCCCUCAAGAUAAAAUGUAAUGCCCAAGAAGUGUUUAGGUGUUUCCAAGAGUUGUUACUAUAUGUUUUACAAUAAUCAAGCCAUUGAAGAUUUGGAGUAACAUGUCAGAUACGAGGCAAGAACAUUAAAGUAAGCAUUAUGCACAUCUGUUACUAUAAAAGAAAUCAACUCUGCUAUUUUCAAAGUAUUUUCAUUAAAGUGUCAUAGAUAGAUAAUACGACCAAAAGAGACUGCAGAAACUAUCAAAACAUCAAAAGCAGAAUCAAUUGAUUUUAGAAAUCUCCUUUUGAAGCUGGAAAGUUAAGUUAAAAAUAAUAAGAAAAUUUCUUAAUCAAAAUACUUCAGGAAUAUUUUUGUAACAUAAAAAAUGUGUUAAAAUAUAUUAAUAAUGCAUAUUAUUAGUCAGGUUAAAUUUUAUAAUCUCAUAACUACUGUAUAUUAUGCCCAGUUGUUUAGUAAAGCAAAGACGAACAGGAAGCAAUCUUCAAUUUCAUAUUUCACAUAUCUAAAUGUGAGAAAUUUUAAUUCAGUCAUUAGUCAAAGAAACUUAAAAAGCCUAUGUAGAAAGUCUAAGUACAUACACAGAGAAAUGCGCUAAAAGCAUAAAACAGUAAGAGCUGACCUAAUUCUCUCCAAGAGAGGAGAUUGUUUCUCCAUAUCUCAAUAUCAUGCCAGAGUUUAAAGAAAGAAAGGCCACUCUCAAUAAAUAGACAAUGCUUGCAAAAAAAUUUAAUGGGCUUCAAUAAAAAUUUUAUAGGAGUACUCAUAAUUCUUUUUUUUAUACACAGGCUGCAAGUAAAAUAUGUUUCUCUUCUACCUUAUGAAACAUUAGGAUCUGGCCUUGAAAGAUAAUUGUAUAAGAACUCAAGUUUUCAUGCUUACGAGCAAAAUAUGUGGUAUUUUGCUAAUAAUUAUGAUGAAAUCACUGAAGCCAAAGAGAAAAGCAUAAAAUAUCUGGGAGGUUCUUAGGAAUUGACAACACCAUUCACUUCAGAGUGAUUAUUUUACUCACGGAAAUACAGAGGAAGAGUCAUUUUCAUGAGGACUUUACUGCAAUAAUAAUAUAGCAGUGGCAGUGUGAUGCUCACAAUCUAAAGACAUUAAAGGAGUAUAAAAUGUAAAAUUUGCAGCAAAGUAGUAAAAAUAGCUACACUUUUGCAGGGUUUUCUACUCUAAGGACUUUUCCAAAGGUAAAAUAGUGUUAUCUUAGCUCCUUAUUUAAUUGUUAUAACAAGAUCACGAUGGAGGAGGAAUAAACUGAUGAGAAUGAUGACUGGAAGAGACAAUUAUCAGUGCUUAUCAGAAUAGUUACAAGUGAUAGCAAGCAUACUGUGCCAUGGAUCGACCUGUGUUUGAUGGAGAGCAGUCCGUUUCUUCCUACAAUAACCCAGUGAAGCAGUGAAGUUAGGUACUAAUCCUAGACCCCUCCCCGUAACAGGGAGGAGGAAACAGGAGGGAAGCGACUGGCUCCAGGUUAUUCAGCUGCUAAGCACUAAGGCAUGCAUUUGAUGGCAGACCUGCUGCCACCCUGCCCUCCUCUAUACUAGCUGUUAAAGCAGCAACUGUAUAUACCAAACAAGACGAAAGCCCCUGGAGAGUAACCCAGCUUAAAAAUUCACCAGUUACCUAUUACAUGUUGGAAGAUAAUAAUAAUGAUGUUAAUUGUACCCAACACUUGGAUUGUGUUUAUGACGUGUCAGGCAGUAUCCUAAUCAUGAUUAUAACAUCUAGUUACAGUUAUUUUACGUAUGAGGAAAUUUCAGCAUGGAAGGUUAAGUAGCUGGCCCAAGAUCAUUCACUGAGUAAAUUACAGAGCCAUGGUUUGAACCCUGGGAUCCAAUCAAUUCCUGGUAAUGAUAGUAGAAAAAGCCUUUCACCUAGAUUCCUGUAUCGACUAAACCCAAAUAUCCUUCCACUGACUCCCUAUGUCUUUUCUAUACAUCAGACAAAGUGAUCUUUGUGAAAUGUAAAUCUGAUGAUAUGAUCCCACUGAUUACACCCUCCCAAUGGCUCCUCAUAGCUCUUCACAUAAAUAAGACACUAGAAAGCCCUACACCAUCUGGCUUCUACCUACCUUCCUGGUCUCAUUUUCCACUGAGCUCCCCAUCAUCCUCUGCUUCAGCCACACUGCCUUUCUUUAGUCUCUCUACAUACCAUGCUCUUUCCUGCCACAGGCCCUUUGCAUAUGUAAUUCUUUCAUACAGAACUCUAUCUCCACCUCUUUUCAUUUUUCACUUUUCAGGUCAAACAUCCCUUCCUUGGGAAAAACGUUUCCUAACCCCAAUACACACAAUCAGAUUGCCUUAAUGUGUCUUCUUUUCAGUAGUGUCACAUUGCAAAUUUACAAUUACUACGAAAUUAUUUGAUUCAUGCCCUUCUCCUCUACUAGACUAUAAGUGGUAGAAGGUCAGAACUCUGACCUGUUUUACCACUUGUCUUAGGUUGUAUUCCUUGAGACAAAAAUUUGCAUGAAAUUAAUUUACUAGGGAAAUGAUUCCAAGAAGCAGGGAUAGGGAGUGAGGAAGUAAGACAGGGAAGGGAACAAAGCCGACGUAGUCUACAUUAAUAAACCGUUUACGAGUGUGAGGAAUUGGGGCUCCCUCUUUCAGGGUCCUCUGGGAGACUACGUGAAACACUUCUCGGAGUUGUCCUACCUGAGGGGUGAAGAAACUAUGGAGUUUCUCUGCCAACGCCCAUCCAUAACUGGUUGAAGACCGCUCCUGGGAUGUUAACUUUCAAUCAUUUUCAGUCUGUUCCACACACAAGUCAAGCACUUUCUUACAGCCAGCGGAAUUACUCAGGCAAAGAGCUGACAGACAUUUUCAGUAAGAAGCCAUCCAUGUGUCUAAGUAGAGCUAGUGCCAGGGAGAUGAGUGUCAACUCAAAGCGUCGCUACUGUCCACCUCUUGUAACACUCAGGAUCCAAAUUAAGUGGAGUCAAUCCUCAGUCUUAUCACAGAUAUUUGAAAUGCAUAACUUGUCACAAUUUC
Molecule: long non-coding RNA, 3919 nt
Filed under: Equus asinus (donkey)
Lineage: Eukaryota; Metazoa; Chordata; Mammalia; Perissodactyla; Equidae
Description: lncRNA (ENSEASG00005034372.1)
Source: RNAcentral